Long non-coding RNA from Humulus lupulus (European hop), 2231 nucleotides. RefSeq lists it as uncharacterized. The transcript has 3 exons. The record is from RefSeq and is a predicted model, not a curated record. Lineage: Eukaryota; Viridiplantae; Streptophyta; Magnoliopsida; Rosales; Cannabaceae.
CAUCAGAACUAAUGAUGAUAUAUAUUUGAUAAAUUGUAGUGAAAAUCAAACAUUAUUACAAGUAUAUAUAGAUACAUCUCUUUUAAUAUGCUUUCUUAGUUUGAAAUUAUCAAGAUCAAUAGCUAGAGAUACACUAUAUUGAUUUUUCUUAAUAUUUUAUUUUGUAAAUAUAAGAUUGUUCAUAUCUUUAAAAAAUUUCUUACAUAUAUAGAUACAUCUCUCCUAAUAUGCUUCAGCCCCAUGUAUUAUUUCAUAUGGAAAUAGACAAGGCUUAUUAUAUAUACUAUUGUAAACACAACCUCAAAACAAGAACAUAAACACACCAUAAACCAGAAAAAAAUUGAUCAAUAAUCAAUCUUAAAGACAAAACUGGUUUAAUCAAGGAAUCAAAUCAUAACAGAAAUGAAACAUAAAGAGGAACACAAACACAAACACAUACGUGGUUCGAAUGAGUGUUGGCUAGACACCACUCUACUCAACGGCCAAAACCAGCCCUAAGGGCUUGACAAUCUCUUUAUUGAUUCUAAGUUUCAAUCCGUAAAACAAUGGAGUCUAGCUCCAAGCUUCUCUCAUAACAGUAGUACAAGAUAUCUCUAGGCUCUCUAAAACUCACUCCCAAUAUUACAAUGUAUGUAAAAACUGAAUUGGAUUAAAUAAUAGAAGAGGGGCCUUAUAUAUACAUGUGAUGUAAGUGACUGACUACUGGUAGAGAAUUAUUCUUAUUGUUAUAGAUUAUAGUUUAUGCAUUCUAGGUGUUUGAGUGAAUGUCUCAAUAAGUACAAAAUACUCAAUAGACUUGUGUGUUAUUUAUUAUGUGAGUGGCAAAUGACUACUGGUAGAGAAUUCCGGGCAUUACGAUACAUGGGAAGCAGUGCCUCAACACUACAAAGACCUAGUCAUUACAAAUAUUAAGUGCUAUUAUCAAAUAGAUGGCCAGUCGGAUUCCAUACGGUGUCUAGACGGUAUCGAUAAAGAGAUGAAAGAUCGAUAUCGCGAUAGCAAAACAAAAAGACAUCGACAUUUUGCAACAUAUUACAAUGGACCUGAGGAUUGGGACAAAAUCCUCGUAAACCCAGAUCAUAAUGUCAACAAAGGAUGAGUGGAAGAAUAUUUGUGAGUUAUUUACCAGUCCUCGUUGGAUGGAGCGCUAAAAAAAGAAUAAGGAAAACAGAGCUCAACAAAAGUAUGCAACAACGCAGGGUUCAAAAUCGUUGGCGGCUCGCCGUCACAAAAGAGUAAAAAUUAUCAACACAAUUAAUUUUAAUUAAAUUAUAAGUUAUUUAACCUUAUGUUUAUACUUUUUAUAUGAACUCUAACCUUAUUGAUGAUUGGAAGGAUUGUCACUGGAAGAAAGAGACAGAACAGUUUGUCAACGAAGCUGCUCAAUCAAAUUAUGAAAAAUUGAAGGCUAAUUUUAUAGCACAAAGUCAGCCGAUAUCUGCUUUUGUCUCGAAUAAGGAUGGUACGACCUCAGUUGACCAGGUGCAGGUCCUAGAAAAAGUACUGGGACAGAGGCGCGGUCACGAGCGAGGAUUGGGCACUAAAUUGAGGGGGACGGGGCCAUCCUCUUGUCAGCCCUCUCAAAACACCCAGUCUCAGGCAGCUCCUCAACAAUCCACAAGUGAAUAUGGUCAUUUGGUGGAGACGAUAAAGAAAUUUACUGAGCAAGUCAAUUUCAUGUCUCAAUUUCUUCCAAGUGGACCUAAUGUGUAGUUUCAGCCUCCACAGAAUUCUUCGUUGCAACCCUCGGUCUCGCCGGACACAUCUGCAGCUUCAUCUUCUCAUCAGCCUCUGAUCCAUCCAUACCUAUACGGAGCAUCGCCACCGCUCUCAUCCCAACCCAUGAGAUCUCCUUACAUGUUUGGAGCAGUACCAUCACAACCUCCACCAAAUUAUCCUUGCAUGUUUGGAGCAUCGUCGAUGCAGCCUCCGCCAUAUCCUUACUACCAAUUUGGACAAGGAUCGUCAACCUUACCUCCACAGUAUCCAUGGCCACAGCCACCGCAGCUGCCACAACCACUGCAACCGUCACAACCACCAUAGUCACUGCAGGCACCGCAACCACCACAGUCGCUGCAGCCACCCUGGGGUAAUGACAUUGAUGAUGCUACUAAUUUAGGAGAGGAUGAGUAGUAUAUUAUUGUACUUAACUGUAAUGACUGCAUUUUAUUAAUAGAUAAUUAUGGAUAUUGUAGUUACAUUUUAUGAUUAUGGAUGUAGUGACUAUAUUU